This 692-nucleotide ribosomal RNA is filed under the name uncultured Bacteroidota bacterium. Its description in RNAcentral is "bacterial SSU rRNA". It matches the Rfam family "Bacterial small subunit ribosomal RNA", at positions 62 to 755 of the family's 1533-position model. Lineage: Bacteria; Pseudomonadati; Bacteroidota. The record is from RNAcentral.
UCGAGGGGUAGAAGUCUUCGGACUUUGAGACCGGCGCACGGGUGCGUAACGCGUAUGCAAUCUACCUUACACUAAGGGAUAGCCCAGAGAAAUUUGGAUUAAUACCUUAUAGUAUGUGACUGGGACAUCCCUAACACAUUAAAGAUUUAUCGGUGUAAGAUGAGCAUGCGUCCCAUUAGCUAGUUGGUGUGGUAACGGCAUACCAAGGCAAUGAUGGGUAGGGGUCCUGAGAGGGAGAUCCCCCACACUGGUACUGAGACACGGACCAGACUCCUACGGGAGGCAGCAGUGAGGAAUAUUGGUCAAUGGGCGCAAGCCUGAACCAGCCAUGCCGCGUGUAGGAUGACGCAUCUAUGGUGUGUAAACUACUUUUGUACAGGAAGAAACACUGCUACGUGUAGCAGCUUGACGGUACUGUAAGAAUAAGGAUCGGCUAACUCCGUGCCAGCAGCCGCGGUAAUACGGAGGAUCCAAGCAUUAUCCGGAAUCAUUGGGUUUAAAGGGUCCGUAGGCGGUUUUAUAAGUCAGUGGUGAAAUCCGGUAGCUCAACUAUCGAACGGCCAUUGAUACUGUAGAACUUGAAUGAUUGUGAAGUAACUAGAAUAUGUAGUGUAGCGGUGAAAUGCUUAGAUAUUACAUGGAAUACCCAUUGCGAAGGCAGGUUACUAACAAUUUAUUGACGCUGAUGGACG